Molecule: long non-coding RNA, 1556 nt
Filed under: Homo sapiens (human)
Lineage: Eukaryota; Metazoa; Chordata; Mammalia; Primates; Hominidae
Description: HSALNT0072421
Source: RNAcentral
UGCAGGUAAAUUAAAUCCAAUGUAAGGAAUUAUUGAUACUAUAGACAAUUUUAUUGAUUUUUUUCUGAAUUACACAAUGCAUAACCACAAUGCAAGUGUUACAUGGAAUUGAACUGAAUUCCCGUGUAUUGAAUUCAACUUAAUCACACAUGCUGUGAGGAACAGAAAGAUGAAGACAAGGCCCUGACCUCAUAGAACCACUAUCUCUAUUCAGCAAGAUUAAUAUAUACACAAGUAGCUUUCCAAUAUCUGCUAUAUGCUACAUAUCAUAUGGUUCUUUUACUUAUAUCUUAAUAUUUCAGUUUUUCUCAGUCUUCUAAUAUCUUUUUAUUAUUUUGAACCCAGGGUGCAUUAGUUCAUUUGAAAGAGUUUUUUGUUUUAAUGUGGGAACACAAGCCAUCAGUUGUAGUCUAUUAUUGUCUACUUAAUGAAAUUGUUUUUGAAACCCUGCCCAUUCACCUUUAACCUUGAGGCCCAUGCAUAGUUUCCGUAUUUAUUAAAUGAUUAACUCACUUACUAGAGGUAUUUAUGAGUUCUUGGCUCAGCCUGAGCCUGCCAGUCCUGGUCGAGAGACAGGAAUGGUUCCAGAAUGACCUCCCCAGUCUUCUGCUGAGACCCAUCUCUCAUCGCCCCCACGUGUCUCCGUUCCUGAUCAUCCCUACAUGCUUUUCUUCCACAUCCACUUCACUCUCUUCUCCAGGAGGUACAAUUGCAUCUGGUCCUCAUUGUGGUGAUAAUUUCACUUUGCAGUUAUUUUUAUAAAUGUUUAAUCAGGUGUGCAGGCAAAAAGAUGAAAAGUGAAGGGUGGCUGUUUCUAAAUAUUUAUUCAGAAAACAAAUUCAGCAAUAUUCAAUCUGGCCUCUUCCUCAGGGACACUGGCAUUGACAUCCUCAUAGCAGCAGCCUAAGACCCUCAGUCCUUGAAGCAAAUGAAAGAACAUUCAAAACAAGCAAGUUUAGAAGGCAAAAAACUUUAUUGAGAAUGUAUGGAUUGAAUGUACUCCACAUAAGAGGCAUGGCUAAAUGAAUGUUCAUCAAGGCCUGAGAUGUGUGACCCUAAGAAACAAGACUGAUGGUUUAAUAAAGAACCAACAAAGACCAAGAAAAAAGAUGAAAAUGCUAACACUGAAAGAUAAAACACCGGCUGCAGGAUGUGGGAGAAAUGUCUACUAACUGUAAAGCAUGUGGUUUGAGGUGUUCAUCUGCAAGGACGUGUAUUGAGAAAACAAAAUGGUGGUUGGCCUAUGCUUUUCUCAUGAAGCAGAGCAACUCCAGCAGCCUGAGAGAAGGCAGAAAGACACAUAGAUUAAUUUAUCUUGCUCAGAGAUACAGAGUCUGUCUAAGAAGAAUUGAAUAUGUGAGUGCUGUCUUUUGAGAUGGACAUAGAACUCUUUCUUCCCCUACCCCAACCCAAAUUUCUAGAUUUAUUUGGAGACAACAAUCUCCCUAAAACAACAUGGUGGGUGUAUGUGUGUGUGUAGCAAAUGCAUUAUAUAAGGCUGGCUCCUCAUAAGUAAUAAAUAAAAUAAUAAAGAUGUGAGUGGAAAACAAAAGAGU